This 237-nucleotide long non-coding RNA is filed under the name Gallus gallus (chicken). Lineage: Eukaryota; Metazoa; Chordata; Aves; Galliformes; Phasianidae. The record is from RNAcentral.
GUUGGCUGGUAAUAGUAAAUAGGGAUGUGAGCCUCGUACAUGGCCUUAGUCACAGCAUUCCCAUGCUUGGCCAGAAACUGCACCUGAGCAUCAUCCCAGUGGUCCAUCUUCAGGGAUUUGACUUUGCUGAUGCUAGGGAUGUUCCGGUGAAUCCCUGAGCAGCUAAGGCAUAUAAAGACACCCAAGGUAGAGGAUGCCCAGUCAGGAUCAGGCUUCCCGCAGUCUGCACACAAUGAG